UAAAAAUACCUUCUGGCCGAGGCUGGCUGGAAGUUACUUAGGGUUGUCCCAGUACUUAUGUCUCAUAAGAGCAGAAGAGCCAAUCCUGGGAGUGGUGAGGUGUGGAUCUUGAUGUAGACAGCAACAAAGAUGGUUAAAAUACCUUAAAUGAAGGAAAUCCUGGUUCUGGUGAGGCCAGAAGACUCAUUACUGGAGAGCUAGUGAAGUGAUGUCAGCAGAGGAGGUAGAAAAGACAAAGUUGAGGAGCAGGGAUUUUCGUUAAACAUGUAAAAUUGGGGGCUUGGUUUUUAUUGUUACCACCUAUUUAGUUAAAUUCUAAGCUUUUGAAUAAGGAAGAGCUUCUUAAAGAUUCA
Long non-coding RNA from Gopherus evgoodei (Goodes thornscrub tortoise), 353 nucleotides. RefSeq lists it as uncharacterized. The transcript has 2 exons. The record is from RefSeq and is a predicted model, not a curated record. Lineage: Eukaryota; Metazoa; Chordata; Testudines; Testudinidae.